Molecule: long non-coding RNA, 1035 nt
Filed under: Oncorhynchus kisutch (coho salmon)
Lineage: Eukaryota; Metazoa; Chordata; Actinopteri; Salmoniformes; Salmonidae
Description: lncRNA (ENSOKIG00005049940.1)
Source: RNAcentral
GUUCCAUGGGUCAUUAAAUCAGGGUCUUAUCCUGUUCUAACAGUGCCUAAUAAAACAGGGUCUUAUCCUGUUCUAACAGGGCCUAUUAAAACAGGGUGUUAUCCUGUUCUAACAGUGCCUAUUAAAACAGGGUGUUAUCCUGUUCUAACAGUGCCUAAUAAAACAGGGUGUUAUCCUGUUCUAACAGUGCCUAAUAAAACAGGGUGUUAUCCUGUUCUAACAGUGCCUAUUAAAACAGGGUGUUAUCCUGUUCUAACAGUGCCUAUUAAAACAGGGUGUUAUCCUGUUCUAACAGUGCCUAAUAAAACAGGGUGUUAUCCUGUUCUAACAGUGCCUAAUAAAACAGGGUGUUAUCCUGUUCUAACAGUGCCUAUUAAAACAGGGUGUUAUCCUGUUCUAACAGUGCCUAAUAAAACAGGGUGUUAUCCUGUUCUAACAGUGCCUAUUAAAACAGGGUUUUAUCCUGUUCUAACAGGGCCUAAUAAAACAGGGUGUUAUCCUGUUCUAACAGUGCCUAAUAAAACAGGGUGUUAUCCUGUUCUAACAGUGCCUAAUAAAACAGUGUGUUAUCCUGUUCUAACAGUGCCUAUUAAAACAGGGUGUUAUCCUGUUCUAACAGGGCCUAAUAAAACAGGGUGUUAUCCUGUUCUAACAGUGCCUAAUAAAACAGGGUGUUAUCCUGUUCUAACAGUGCCUAUUAAAACAGGGUGUUAUCCUGUUCUAACAGUGCCUAUUAAAACAGGGUGUUAUCCUGUUCUAACAGGGCCUAUUAAAACAGGGUGUUAUCCUGUUCUAACAGGGCCUAUUAAAACAGGGUGUUAUCCUGUUCUAACAGUGCCUAAUAAAACAGGGUGUUAUCCUGUUCUAACAGUGCCUAUUAAAACAGGGUGUUAUCCUGUUCUAACAGUGCCUAUUAAAACAGGGUGUUAUCCUGUUCUAACAGGGCCUAUUAAAACAGGGUGUUAUCCUGUUCUAACAGGGCCUAUUAAAACAGGGUCUUAUCCUGUUUUAACAGUGCCCAUUAAAACAGGAUAA